AGAACGAACGCUGGCGGCAUGCCUAACACAUGCAAGUCGAACGAGACCUUCGGGUCGAGUGGCGCACGGGUGCGUAACGCGUGGGAACCUGCCUUUAGGUUCGGAAUAACGCCUCGAAAGGGGUGCUAAUACCGAAUAAUGUCUUCGGACCAAAGAUUUAUCGCCUUUAGAUGGGCCCGCGUUGGAUUAGCUAGUUGGUGGGGUAAAGGCCUACCAAGGCGACGAUCCAUAGCUGGUCUUAGAGGAUGAUCAGCCACACUGGGACUGAGACACGGCCCAAACUCCUACGGGAGGCAGCAGUGGGGAAUAUUGGACAAUGGGCGCAAGCCUGAUCCAGCCAUGCCGCGUGAGUGAUGAAGGCCCUAGGGUUGUAAAGCUCUUUUGUGCGGGAAGAUAAUGACGGUACCGCAAGAAUAAGCCCCGGCUAACUUCGUGCCAGCAGCCGC
RNAcentral lists this ribosomal RNA (446 nucleotides) under uncultured bacterium. RNAcentral describes it as "SSU rRNA". It matches the Rfam family "Bacterial small subunit ribosomal RNA", at positions 26 to 518 of the family's 1533-position model. The record is from RNAcentral.